CGACGUGGAAAAUCAUUCAGGUGGUGAGUACACAUUGAUAUUCUGUUCUUUCGAAAUUGCUUACAUGCUGAGAUCCAAUUUAAUAGCAAACAAGAUUUACCUGUCAAUUACUCACCAAGAUACACCAUGCUGAGGUCAAUCCUCGCUGUGGUUAUAUUGGUCCAUUUCAAUGACAAACAU
Molecule: small nucleolar RNA, 180 nt
Filed under: Lachancea thermotolerans CBS 6340
Lineage: Eukaryota; Fungi; Ascomycota; Saccharomycetes; Saccharomycetales; Saccharomycetaceae
Description: Small nucleolar RNA snR80
Rfam family: Small nucleolar RNA snR80
Source: Rfam by way of RNAcentral